Oncorhynchus keta (chum salmon) is the source of this 667-nucleotide long non-coding RNA. RefSeq lists it as uncharacterized. Lineage: Eukaryota; Metazoa; Chordata; Actinopteri; Salmoniformes; Salmonidae. The record is from RefSeq and is a predicted model, not a curated record. The transcript has 4 exons.
GGUGACAUUAAGAUAAAAGGACGGAGAUUGGAAAAUAGAUGGUAGUGGAACUUUUACCAUUAAUAAGCAGUUGGAGAUGGAACUUUUACCAUCAAUAAGCAGUUGGAGAUGGAACUUUUACCAUCAAUAAGCAGUUGGAGAUGGAACUUUUACCAUCAAUAAGCAGUUGGAGAUGGAACUUUUACCAUCAAUAAGCAGUUGGAGAUGGAACUUUUACCAUCAAUAAGCAGUUGGAGAUGGAACUUUUACCAUCAAUAAGCAGUUGGAGAUGGAACUUUUACCAUCAAUAAGCAGUUGGAGAUGGAACUUUUACCAUCAAUAAGCAGUUGGAGAUGGAACUUUUACCAUCAAUAAGCAGUUGGAGAUGGAACUUUUACCAUCAAUAAGCAGUUGGAGAUGGAACUUUUACCAUCAAUAAGCAGUUGGAGAUGGAACUUUUACCAUCAAUAAGCAGUUGGAGAUGGAACUUUUACCAUCAAUAAGCAGUUGGAGAUGGAACUUUUACCAUCAAUAAGCAGUUGGAGAUGGAACUUUUACCAUCAAUAAGCAGUUGGAGAUGGAACUUUUACCAUCAAUAAGCAGUUGGAGGUGGAACUUUUAACAUCAAUAUGUGGGAGAUUGACUGUACCAUUUCCAGGUUAACCAGUAUAAUUUUCACUUGCUAAAC